Molecule: ribosomal RNA, 459 nt
Filed under: uncultured bacterium
Lineage: Bacteria
Description: partial 16S ribosomal RNA
Rfam family: Bacterial small subunit ribosomal RNA
Source: RNAcentral
CCUACGGGCGGCAGCAGUGAGGAAUAUUGGUCAAUGGGCGCGAGCCUGAACCAGCCAAGUCGCGUGAGGGAAGACGGUCCUAUGGAUUGUAAACCUCUUUUGUCGGGGAGCAAAAGACGCCACGCGUGGCGUUCCGCGAGUACCCGAAGAAAAAGCAUCGGCUAACUCCGUGCCAGCAGCCGCGGUAAUACGGAGGAUGCGAGCGUUAUCCGGAUUUAUUGGGUUUAAAGGGUGCGCAGGCGGAAGAGCUAGUCAGCGGUAAAAUUGAGAGGCUCAACCUCUUCGAGCCGUUGAAACUGGUUGUCUUGAGUGAGUGAGAAGUAGGCGGAAUGCGUGGUGUAGCGGUGAAAUGCAUAGAUAUCACGCAGAACUCCGAUUGCGAAGGCAGCAUACCGGCGCUCAACUGACGCUCAUGCACGAAAGUGUGGGUAUCGAACAGGAUUAGAUACCCGGGUAGUC